This 75-nucleotide transfer RNA is filed under the name Albula glossodonta (roundjaw bonefish). RNAcentral describes it as "tRNA-OTHER". Lineage: Eukaryota; Metazoa; Chordata; Actinopteri; Albuliformes; Albulidae. The record is from RNAcentral.
GGCAGCCGAUAGCCUAGUGGCUAAGGUACAUGACUGGGACCCCUGAGGUUGGUGGUUCAAGUCCCAGUCCAGCCC